ACUACGGGAGGCAGCAGUGGGGAAUAUUGGGCAAUGGACGCAAGUCUGACCCAGCAACGCCGCGUGAAGGAAGAAGGCUUUCGGGUUGUAAACUUCUUUUAAGGGGGAAGAGCAGAAGACGGUACCCCUUGAAUAAGCCACGGCUAACUACGUGCCAGCAGCCGCGGUAAUACGUAGGUGGCAAGCGUUGUCCGGAUUUACUGGGUGUAAAGGGCGUGCAGCCGGAGAGGCAAGUCAGGAGGGAAAGGCGGGGGCCCAACCCCCGGACUGCUCUGGAAACUGUAUGGCUGGAGUGCAGGAGAGGUAAGCGGAAUUCCUAGUGUAGCGGUGAAAUGCGUAGAUAUUAGGAGGAACACCAGUGGCGAAGGCGGCUUACUGGACUGUAACUGACGUUGAGGCUCGAAAGCGUGGGGAGCAAACAGGAUUAGAUACCCGAGUAGUC
Molecule: ribosomal RNA, 442 nt
Filed under: uncultured bacterium
Lineage: Bacteria
Description: partial 16S ribosomal RNA
Rfam family: Bacterial small subunit ribosomal RNA
Source: RNAcentral